UUUUUAUUGACUUUUUAAUAAGUAACAUUUGCUCCKUGAAAAUUUAAAUAGCCGCGGAAAUUUAACCGUGCUMAGGUAGCAUAAUCMUUAGCCCUAUAAUUAAGGGCUCGUAUGAACGAUGAAACAUUUCACUAUCUUUUUUAAAUUUUUUUAUUUAACUUAAACUAAGAAUCAAAAUGUUCUUAUAAUUAUAAAAGRCGGCAAGACCCUACUGAACUUUACUUAAGUUUUACUGGGGAAGUAUAAAAAUAAUUAUCUUUUUAAUUUUUUUUUUUUUUAAUAAAKGACCCAAUACAUUUGAUUAUAUGCACAAGUUACCAUAGGGAUAACAGCGUAAUUAUUUUUUAAAGCUCUUAUUUAAAAACUAGAUKGCGACCYCGAUGUUGAAUUAAGGAUACUUUAUCMCGCAAUAGUAAUAAAUAGGGGGUCUGUUCGACCCUUAAAUCAUUACAK
Molecule: ribosomal RNA, 453 nt
Filed under: Micrathena sagittata
Lineage: Eukaryota; Metazoa; Arthropoda; Arachnida; Araneae; Araneidae
Description: partial 16S large subunit ribosomal RNA
Rfam family: Bacterial large subunit ribosomal RNA
Source: RNAcentral